RNAcentral lists this ribosomal RNA (429 nucleotides) under uncultured beta proteobacterium. RNAcentral describes it as "bacterial SSU rRNA". It matches the Rfam family "Bacterial small subunit ribosomal RNA", at positions 355 to 776 of the family's 1533-position model. Lineage: Bacteria; Pseudomonadati; Pseudomonadota; Betaproteobacteria. The record is from RNAcentral.
UGGGGAAUUUUGGACAAUGGGGGCAACCCUGAUCCAGCCAUGCCGCGUGAGUGAAGAAGGCCUUCGGGUUGUAAAGCUCUUUCGGCCGGGAAGAAAUCGCGCCUGUGAAUAAUGGGCGUGGAUGACGGUACCGGAAGAAGAAGCACCGGCUAACUACGUGCCAGCAGCCGCGGUAAUACGUAGGGUGCGAGCGUUAAUCGGAAUUACUGGGCGUAAAGCGUGCGCAGGCGGCCUGACAAGACAGCUGUGAAAGCCCCGGGCUUAACCUGGGAACUGCGGUUGUGACUGUCAGGCUAGAGUGUGGCAGAGGGGGGUGGAAUUCCACGUGUAGCAGUGAAAUGCGUAGAGAUGUGGAGGAACACCGAUGGCGAAGGCAGCCCCCUGGGUCGUCACUGACGCUCAUGCACGAAAGCGUGGGGAGCAAACAGG